AUGAAAGCACAACAACAGCAUAUUGCAGAUUCUGUGAGACUUUUAUUUAGGAAAGAAAAUUCUUAUUCUUAUGUAAGACACAAUUCACAAGAAAAUAGGGGAAAUGAUUAUAACAUGGAAAAUCAAUCCAAACAAAAGAGUGCCAAACCAGGUACUUAUUUUGUGUGCUUCAUAUUCACGUUCCUGGUGCAGAAACACAAACUCAACUGUAGCAAAACAUGCCAUCAAAAGAAAAGAAUCACAAAUCUGAAAACUAAUACAUGUACGCAAUACAACAACCGAUCUUAUCUCAGGCUGAACGCAAGGUAUUUGUAUGUCUUCCUGUCACAAAGUCGAUAG
This is a non-coding RNA of Vicia faba (fava bean), 339 nucleotides long. The record is from the annotation of a GenBank genome assembly. Lineage: Eukaryota; Viridiplantae; Streptophyta; Magnoliopsida; Fabales; Fabaceae.